RNAcentral lists this transfer RNA (74 nucleotides) under Candidatus Omnitrophota bacterium. RNAcentral's name for it is "tRNA-Arg". It matches the Rfam family "tRNA". Rfam says of the family: Transfer RNA (tRNA) molecules are approximately 80 nucleotides in length. Their secondary structure includes four short double-helical elements and three loops (D, anti-codon, and T loops). The record is from RNAcentral. Lineage: Bacteria; Pseudomonadati; Candidatus Omnitrophota.
GUCCCCGUAGCUCAAUAGGAUAGAGCAUCUGCCUUCUAAGCAGAGGGUUGCCCGUUCAAUUCGGGCCGGGGACG